Molecule: ribosomal RNA, 305 nt
Filed under: uncultured Friedmanniella sp.
Lineage: Bacteria; Bacillati; Actinomycetota; Actinomycetes; Propionibacteriales; Nocardioidaceae
Description: bacterial SSU rRNA
Rfam family: Bacterial small subunit ribosomal RNA
Source: RNAcentral
GACGAACGCUGGCGGCGUGCUUAACACAUGCAAGUCGAACGGUAAGGCCCCCUCGGGGGUACACGAGUGGCGAACGGGUGAGUAACACGUGAGCAACCUGCCCUUGACUCUGGAAUAACAGUUGGAAACAGCUGCUAAUACUGGAUAUGCACCGGGCCCCUCCUGGGGUGUGGUGGAAAGCUCCGGCGGUCAGGGAUGGGCUCGCGGCCUAUCAGCUUGUUGGUGAGGUAAUGGCUCACCAAGGCUUCGACGGGUAGCCGGCCUGAGAGGGCGACCGGCCACACUGGGACUGAGAUACGGCCCAG